Molecule: ribosomal RNA, 424 nt
Filed under: uncultured Nitrosospira sp.
Lineage: Bacteria; Pseudomonadati; Pseudomonadota; Betaproteobacteria; Nitrosomonadales; Nitrosomonadaceae
Description: bacterial SSU rRNA
Rfam family: Bacterial small subunit ribosomal RNA
Source: RNAcentral
CAAGACCUUACGCUUUUGGAGCGGCCGAUGUCUGAUUAGCUAGUUGGUGAGGUAAAGGCUUACCAAGGCAUCGAUCAGUAGCUGGUCUGAGAGGACGACCAGCCACACUGGGACUGAGACACGGCCCAGACUCCUACGGGAGGCAACAGUGGGGAAUUUUGGACAAUGGGGGAAACCCUGAUCCAGCCAUGCCGCGUGAGUGAAGAAGGCCUUCGGGUUGUAAAGCUCUUUCAGCCGGAACGAAACAGUAACGGCUAAUACCUGUGACUACUGACGGUACCGGAAGAAGAAGAACCGGCUAACUACGUGCCAGCAGCGGCGGUAAUACGUAGGGUGCGAGCGUUAAUCGGAAUUACUGGGCGUAAAGCGUGCGCAGGCGGUUUUGUAAGUCAGAUGUGAAAUCCCCGGGCUAAACCUGGCAACU